UAGCUGUUUCUCCCACAUUUACUUCCAUUGGUUAAUUUACCAAGCUUUAUGACACUUUUAGGUUUUCCGAUUUAUUAAUGAUUGAUUUAUAUAUAAGAUUGAACGAUGGCCAAAUUAGAUCCUCACUUUCUCUCGCUAUUAGAUUUCUGGAUUAUGAUCUUAUUGGUUUCAACCCCCCAAAAUCAAUGCGUGGAGGGAUUCAGAUUUGUUAUCCUCAUGUAAUUUUAUAUUGUGGAUCACUGGAUCAACAUAGGUUUGCAAGGGAAAAAAUAUGGGUAAUCGGUGACAAUCUACCUACACGAGUUCAUAAAAUCAUCAUUAGCUGAUCUUCAUCUCAAACCAUCAGAAGAGGACUUAAAGCAAUGGUCUGACAGGUAAAAGUAAAACCAUCAUCAUCUUUUUAUGUUCUUUAUCUUUAUAGAUUCUGAAUUUUAUGUGUGUGUUUCCUUUUUGAGUUCUGGGUUUCACUUGCUAUAGAUGGCCACUCAACUUUGAUUUCUUUAGAAACAUCAAUGGCAAACCCUUCAGAUUCUUGAUCAUGAACGGAAAAAAACACAUGUUAUUGGAAAAGAAUACGUUGUAUGUAAACCAUGGGAAGGUGAAUUUAGGGGACGAUGAGCACAAAAGCAUACUUUGUGUGGAUGGUUAUUACUUUGAAGCAAUGAGAAGAAUGGACCAGCCAGCUUAUAUUAAUCGCUGUUAAGAUCAGUCUCUGCUUUGAUCAACUUGAACAACAGAGCAAAGGAUUCUGAUUCUGUCUGUUUUGGAAUUCCAUCCUAAAAAAAAUCAUCCACUGCAGAGAUCAUGCAGAGGAAUAAGCUUGAUAAUGUAUUUCACUAAAAUCUUAUUGCAGGUGCUGGCUUUUUCUUACCAGUCUUACAAGAAAGGCCAAGCUCCAAGAAGUUGAGCUGGAAAAACAGCCAAGCAGCUCAAAGAGGCGUUUACAAUCUCUAGCGAAGAAACGAUUAGAUGUGCGGCAACAAAAAAAAUGUUAUCAUAUCUCUUACCGCAUAAGUAAUUUCAAAGCUCAAAAGAAACGACCAGAUGUGCGGAAAUGCCUCACUGAGACUCUUUUACCCCAACCACUUCUCUGAUUUUCCCAGCCCAAGCUUCUGAGUGCAAAUCUUGGGAUAUAACAUAUCUUCUAUAUAUAAAGAUAGAAAAUUUAAAGUUUUGAAAGUGUUUUACGUCUUAUUUCAUUGUAGUUUGGGGGCUCUAUGGUGUUUAUUGUGAGAAGGUAGUAAUUGUCUUAUGAAAUCAAAGCAAUCUGAUUACUCAAUUAAAAACAGAAAAUUAUUUCAAA
Long non-coding RNA from Brassica napus (rape), 1303 nucleotides. RefSeq lists it as uncharacterized. Lineage: Eukaryota; Viridiplantae; Streptophyta; Magnoliopsida; Brassicales; Brassicaceae. The transcript has 3 exons. The record is from RefSeq and is a predicted model, not a curated record.